GACCAGCAGCUGGUGCGC
This 18-nucleotide unclassified non-coding RNA is filed under the name Chlamydomonas reinhardtii. RNAcentral's name for it is "small RNA Cre_1573". The record is from RNAcentral. Lineage: Eukaryota; Viridiplantae; Chlorophyta; Chlorophyceae; Chlamydomonadales; Chlamydomonadaceae.